UGCAUCUGAAGUCUGACGAGGAUGAGAACCUCCGGGGGCAAGAGGUUCGACUCGAGCGAAGCGAGAGAACGUUGCGUCAGCAACGGCCCGCAGGGCGAGCCAUCCUCUAUCACCGGCAG
Molecule: small RNA, 119 nt
Filed under: Salmonella enterica subsp. enterica serovar Infantis
Lineage: Bacteria; Pseudomonadati; Pseudomonadota; Gammaproteobacteria; Enterobacterales; Enterobacteriaceae
Also listed under: 25 other names
Description: RtT sRNA
Rfam family: RtT RNA
About the family: This family represents a bacterial cis-regulatory element known as RtT RNA. The exact function of RtT is unknown although it is thought that it may be involved in changing the cellular response in relation to amino acid starvation.
Source: RNAcentral